This is a long non-coding RNA of Symphalangus syndactylus (siamang), 628 nucleotides long. RefSeq lists it as uncharacterized. Lineage: Eukaryota; Metazoa; Chordata; Mammalia; Primates; Hylobatidae. The record is from RefSeq and is a predicted model, not a curated record.
UAGCAGGAGGCGUGGACAGAGUGGUAUGAAGGGAGUUUGUGCUGGGCUGUGGUCUGUGCUGUUUGUCUAAUUCAGGGAAGGUAUCAGGCUACCCCAAGGAGGACUCUGCUAUACGAUCUGCAUCCUGGUGAUAGUAACCUCUCUUUUCUGGCUGUUGAAGCGCAUUCCUGUGCGGAUGUGGAAAGACAGAAAGCAAGAUACAGCCAGGGCUAGGACAGGAAUGGUCUUGCUCUGUUGCCCAGGCUGGAGUGCAGUGAUGUGAUCAUGGCUCACUACAACCUCCGCCUCCCGGGGCUCAAGCGAUCCUCCCACCUCAGCCUCCUGAGAAGCUGGGACUACAAGUGUGCACUGCCAUGCCCGGCUAAUUUUCUAGUUUUUGUAGAGACAGUGUUUCACCAUGUUGCCCAGGCUGGUCUCCAACUCCUGAGCUCAAGCAAUCCUUCUGCCUCAGCCCCCUGAAGUGCUGGGAUUACAGGUAGGCAAGAGAAGGUGCUGGCAAAAUGGAUGUAUGUAAUGUCAGAAAGCAAGGCAAUUCUGAUUACACCUGGAUUUCUACUGAAGCAGAAUUGCAGUUCAACUCUUUAGUCUCCAAAGACAAAGACGGGAGAAGGGAGGGAGUGCAGAGGGC